This 352-nucleotide transfer-messenger RNA is filed under the name Sphingobium jiangsuense. Its description in RNAcentral is "Sphingobium sp. BA-3 Alphaproteobacteria transfer-messenger RNA". It matches the Rfam family "Alphaproteobacteria transfer-messenger RNA". From Rfam's summary of the family: Bacterial tmRNA, also known as 10Sa RNA or SsrA, is named for its dual tRNA and mRNA-like properties. Its role is to liberate the mRNA from a stalled ribosome. To accomplish this part of the tmRNA is used as a reading frame that ends in a translation stop signal. Lineage: Bacteria; Pseudomonadati; Pseudomonadota; Alphaproteobacteria; Sphingomonadales; Sphingobiaceae. The record is from Rfam by way of RNAcentral.
CCUCUUUUCAUAUCGGCGCGGCCACCCUAUAUGGAGGAUGUCGGUUUCGGCCGACUAUGGCGAUAAAAUAUGUCGUGUAAUAGAUGCAGCGGACCCGGGGGCAGUACCCGGCGGCUCCACCAUAACAUCCGGCUUCGAAUGGGGCCGGAUGCUCUGACGGGGCCGAACCAGGAUCGACGUGUAUUGAAAGACGAUGUUUUCGCUCGGGCUGAGUAACCCGUUCAAGGCUCAAAACCUAUAAGUGCCAACGACAACGAAGCACUUGCUCUUGCUGCGUAAUUGAGGGCCUCGCGGCCUGACAUUACCCAAAUAGAACGCGGUUGGACCCGCCGGGCAACAGAAGGGUUACAGC